GUGAACGCUGGCGGUAGGCCUCACCCCUGCCAGUCGAACGGCAGCACAGUAAGAGCUUGCUCUUACGGGUGGCGAGUGGCGGACGGGUGAGGAAUACAUCGGAAUCUACUUUUUCGUGGGGGAUAACGUAGGGAAACUUACGCUAAUACCGCAUACGACCUACGGGUGAAAGCAGGGGAUCUUCGGACCUUGCGCGAUUGAAUGAGCCGAUGUCGGAUUAGCUAGUUGGCGGGGUAAAGGCCCACCAAGGCGACGAUCCGUAGCUGGUCUGAGAGGAUGAUCAGCCACACUGGAACUGAGACACGGUCCAGACUCCUACGGGAGGCAGCAGUGGGGAAUAUUGGACAAUGGGCGCAAGCCUGAUCCAGCCAUACCGCGUGGGUGAAGAAGGCCUUCGGGUUGUAAAGCCCUUUUGUUGGGAAAGAAAAGCAGCAGGUUAAUACCCCGCUGUUCUGACGGUACCCAAAGAAUAAGCACCGGCUAACUUCGUG
Molecule: ribosomal RNA, 491 nt
Filed under: uncultured bacterium
Lineage: Bacteria
Description: partial 16S ribosomal RNA
Rfam family: Bacterial small subunit ribosomal RNA
Source: RNAcentral